This 303-nucleotide ribosomal RNA is filed under the name uncultured bacterium. RNAcentral's name for it is "partial 16S ribosomal RNA". It matches the Rfam family "Bacterial small subunit ribosomal RNA", at positions 507 to 807 of the family's 1533-position model. The record is from RNAcentral.
AGCAGUCGCCGCGGGAACACGUAGGGUGCGAGCGUUAAUCGGAAUUACUGGGCGUAAAGCGUGCGCAGGCGGUUUUGUAAGACAGGCGUGAAAUCCCCGGGCUCAACCUGGGAAUGGCGCUUGUGACUGCAAAGCUAGAGUGCGGCAGAGGGGGAUGGAAUUCCGCGUGUAGCAGUGAAAUGCGUAGAUAUGCGGAGGAACACCGAUGGCGAAGGCAAUCCCCUGGGCCUGCACUGACGCUCAUGCACGAAAGCGUGGGGAGCAAACAGGAUUAGAUACCCGAGUAGUCCCUGUCUCUUAUAC